Onychomys torridus (southern grasshopper mouse) is the source of this 725-nucleotide long non-coding RNA. RefSeq lists it as uncharacterized. NCBI's taxonomy places the organism in Eukaryota, Metazoa, Chordata, Mammalia, Rodentia, Cricetidae. The record is from RefSeq and is a predicted model, not a curated record. The transcript has 3 exons.
UGUCCCUCCAUAUACUUCCCACCAUGACCAGUCCAAAGCAGUGGGGUCCACUGACUGGGAGCUGCAGCCUGGGAAAGUGUGAGACAAAAAUAAACCUUUCUCUUUGAAGUUGAUUGUAUCAGACAGGAACAGUCCUGUGACCAGUUUCAGACAAACACCCUUCUGUACAUUCAAGUGAAAUAUCCAGUGUACUGAGGAGCCAUACCAUGGAAUGAAUGCCCUGGUCCCCAUCAAUGAAAAGACUGACUGAGUUCUCCAGAGAGUUUGGAGUCUCUGCAUUUGAAACUGCUGCCACAUACAAAAUGAAGUUCUCCAUAGACAAGUCUGGCCUUUGACCUUGGGCCCUGGGGAGGAUCUAGAACAUUCUACCUCACAGGAGUCUCUUUGCUGGUGGUUCAGUGCUGGAUCAUCUAACGUGGAUUAAGAGUGCUUGGACAAUGAACCAAGGAGGACAGAGGAAGAAAAUCUUUCUUCCCUACAGGUGUUAGCUCCAGUCUGGAAUGCUGAAGACUGAAGGUCAGCCACACACAGAUCAUGUGACACCAAAGCGUCAAGUGAACCUCCGGGUUGGGAGUGAUCCCUGCACAUUGUCACAUAGGAGAGUGGCAGGUACCCAAAGAGCAGCAAGUCCUGGCUCUGUGGGGGAGCACAGGAAGCCUGUGUCCAUCUCUUCUGGAUAUACCCAGUGUGCUUCUUCUAUUGACUGGCCUUCAUCUGUGCCGUUC